GGGGACGUAGCGCGUUAGGGAAGACGCACGGGCCUGUAGAGCCCGAGCCCGACAGGGCCCGCUGGGUUCAACUCCCAGCGUCCCCA
Non-coding RNA from Myxococcus stipitatus DSM 14675, 86 nucleotides. The record is from Rfam. NCBI's taxonomy places the organism in Bacteria, Pseudomonadati, Myxococcota, Myxococcia, Myxococcales, Myxococcaceae.